RNAcentral lists this ribosomal RNA (458 nucleotides) under uncultured bacterium. RNAcentral's name for it is "partial 16S ribosomal RNA". It matches the Rfam family "Bacterial small subunit ribosomal RNA", at positions 338 to 795 of the family's 1533-position model. The record is from RNAcentral.
CCUACGGGGGGCAGCAGUGGGGAAUAUUGCACAAUGGGGGAAACCCUGAUGCAGCGACGCCGCGUGAGUGAAGACGUAUUUCGGUAUGUAAAGCUCUAUCAGCAGGGAAGAAAUAGCGACCUUUGGGUCGCCAGACGGUACCUGACUAAGAAGCCCCGGCUAACUACGUGCCAGAAGCCGCGGUAAUACGUAGGGGGCAAGCGUUAUCCGGAUUUACUGGGUGUAAAGGGAGCGUAGACGGCAGCACAAGUCUGAAGUGAAAUACCGGGGCUUAACCCCGGAACAGCUGUGGAAACUGGUCAUCUAGAGUGCAGGAGAGGUAAGUGGAAUUCCUAGUGUAGCGGUGAAAUGCGUAGAUAUUAGGAGGAACACCAGUGGCGAAGGCGGCUUACUGGACUGUAACUGACGUUGAGGCUCGAAAGCGUGGGGAGCAAACAGGAUUAGAUACCCGAGUAGUC